UGAGGAAUAUUGGUCAAUGGACGAGAGUCUGAACCAGCCAAGUAGCGUGAAGGAUGAAGGUUCUAUGGAUUGUAAACUUCUUUUAUACGGGAAUAAACGAAUCCACGUGUGGAUUUUUGCAUGUACCGUAUGAAUAAGCAUCGGCUAACUCCGUGCCAGCAGCCGCGGUAAUACGGAGGAUGCGAGCGUUAUCCGGAUUUAUUGGGUUUAAAGGGAGCGCAGACGGGGGAUUAAGUCAGUUGUGAAAGUUUGCGGCUCAACCGUAAAAUUGCAGUUGAUACUGGUUCCCUUGAGUGCAGUUGAGGCAGGCGGAAUUCGUGGUGUAGCGGUGAAAUGCAUAGAUAUCACGAAGAACCCCGAUUGCGAAGGCAGCCUGCUAAGCUGUAACUGACGUUGAGGCUCGAAAGUGUGGGUAUCAAACAGGAUUAGAUACCCUGGUAGUCCACACGGUAAACGAUGGAUACUCGCUGUUGGCGAUAUACUGUCAGCGGCCAAGCGAAAGCAUUAAGUAUCCCACCUGGGGAGUACGCCGGCAACGGUGAAACUCAAAGGAAUUGACGGGGGCCCGCACAAGCGGAGGAACAUGUGGUUUAAUUCGAUGAUACGCGAGGAACCUUACCCGGGCUUAAAUUGCAGACGAAUUACCUGGAAACAGGUAAGCCGCAAGGCGUCUGUGAAGGUGCUGCAUGGUUGUCGUCAGCUCGUGCCGUGAGGUGUCGGCUUAAGUGCCAUAACGAGCGCAACCCUCGUGGCCAGUUACUAGCAGGUAACGCUGAGGACUCUGGCCAGACUGCCAUCGUAAGAUGCGAGGAAGGUGGGGAUGACGUCAAAUCAGCACGGCCCUUACGUCCGGGGCUACACACGUGUUACAAUGGGAGGUACAGAAGGCAGCUACCCGGCGACGGGAUGCCAAUCUCCAAAGCCUCUCUCAGUUCGGACUGGAGUCUGCAACCCGACUCCACGAAGCUGGAUUCGCUAGUAAUCGCGCAUCAGCCACGGCGCGGUGAAUACGUUCCC
RNAcentral lists this ribosomal RNA (1017 nucleotides) under uncultured bacterium. Its description in RNAcentral is "bacterial SSU rRNA". It matches the Rfam family "Bacterial small subunit ribosomal RNA", at positions 355 to 1375 of the family's 1533-position model. The record is from RNAcentral.